Long non-coding RNA from Salvia hispanica, 768 nucleotides. RefSeq lists it as uncharacterized. NCBI's taxonomy places the organism in Eukaryota, Viridiplantae, Streptophyta, Magnoliopsida, Lamiales, Lamiaceae. The record is from RefSeq and is a predicted model, not a curated record.
UUUGUUGGAGAAGAUCCUCGAGCCGAGAUCGGUGAGGGGCCAGAGUAAGGGUUUUUAUGUCUCUUUAGCAACAUUUGAAGUGAGCAUCACCCAAAAUUUUCACUGCAUAUAAGAUUGUAUACCACUGAGUAAAGGCAUAACCCCAUUCUGAAACCCUCUCCAUCUAAUCUUCAGCUCACAAUUUCAGUUCAAAGGACUUGUCCCAAUUGUGGCUGGUUCAGGUACAAGGAGAUGAUUUAAUUAAGCAAAGAGAGCUAUAGUACAUGAAACUACUUGAGCAAUGAUGCAUUGGUGGUGUGUGAGGGAGUUACUUGAUCAUAUGGAGCAAAUCAAGGAUAUGAUAGCUAAGCUAGAAGAUAAUAGAGCUGGAGAACGGGUUGCUGUAGAUACGAGGAAGAAAAAUCCUGCUGACUUUGCUAUGUGGAAGGCUGCAAAGCCUGGGGAGCCACAAUGGGACAGCCCCUGGGGUCCUGGAAGACCAGGAUGGCACAUUGAAUGCAGUGCCAUGAGUGCAAGAUUAGAAUACAAAUUCUGUUUGGAACUGUAAAUUUUGAAUGCAAGAUUGGAACUGCAGUGAAGCGGGAGGAAAGUUGCAAUGGUGCGGAAGGAAGCGGCUAAGAGGGAGCAACAAAUGGAAGAGCGAAUGAUGCGGCUUUUUGAUGAAAAACUCGGACAAAUGAAAAAUGUGUAGUUUAGUUUGAUUUUGUUAGAUAAUUUUAUAUUUUGUAAAACAAUCUUACUUAUUUAAUGUUAUUUGAAUUUUGCUUA